AUGUUAGCUGCUGCGUCCCUAUCUCGCAUCAACAACAUCCGAGCCUCUCUCAUGAAUGCGCAGAAGGGAUCCCAGUCGGCUUCGGCCUACUUCGGGUACAUGAGAUCCCUCUCCGACAAGCUUGCAGCGGCGGGCAAACCGAUCGGGGAGGGAGAACGCAUCUCCUUCGUCGUUGCUGGACUCGACAUGGAGUACCAACCGAUUGUCUCCGUGCUGGAUGUGCGCAUGGGGCCUACCACCAUCGACGCCCUCUUCUCUCUUGUGGCCAACUUCGACCAGAGGGUCGAGAUGUUCCAUGGAAACGGAGCCGGCAGGUUCAAAUCUUCGGCAAACUCCAUCUCCCGCGGCGGCGGGCGACAAGGAGGCAACAAGGGCGGCUACCGCGGCAACACAAACCAGAAGGGCAACGGUGGCGGCCCCCGUGGUGGCCCUGGCUAUGGCGGUGGUGGCCAUCCUAACGGUGGCGGAUCCGGAGGUGGCGGCUGUGGCUACGGUGGAGGUGGCUAUGGUGGCGGCGGCAGCCGCGGCUACCCGAACGGUGGCGCUGGAGGCUACCACCAGAACAACUACGGCGGCGGUGGCGGAUCCUAUCAUGGUGGUGGUGGCGGAGGCUACUAUCACCAGGGGAAUCCCAGCAACAACAACAGUCAACGCUCCUCCUCCAACGGUAACAGGGGCCAAAACUUCCAAGGCUAA
RNAcentral lists this ribosomal RNA (696 nucleotides) under Triticum aestivum (bread wheat). Its description in RNAcentral is "partial small subunit ribosomal RNA". The record is from RNAcentral. Lineage: Eukaryota; Viridiplantae; Streptophyta; Magnoliopsida; Poales; Poaceae.